GGCUGGAGCAGCCUGACCAAGUCCCACUUGCUGUUCUGCCAGGGAGCCUGAUUUUGGCACUGGUGUAUUUCCAGAACCAAGGUUUUGGCAGUUAUGAAUAGACGUGCUUUGGUUGUGUGAACAUAAAUAUUUCACUCCUUUGGGUGAAUACCAAGGAGCACCGUUGCUAGACUACAUGCAAGAAGAUGAGAAAGCUGUGAGGACACUCAGUCUUCCACGGGGUGGAUACUAACCAAAAUCACAAGCAGCUUGAGCUGGAAGGACCUGGGAGCCGGGAGAGAUGCCGGAGGAGUCCCGCGCGCUGCCUGUCACAGCUGUGUGACUUCGAGACAGGGCUCUGGCCCCCUGGGCCUCAGUGUCCUCCCCUGGAAAAUGGCUCAUUCAUUUCUCAGGCUGGAGUGCAGUGGCUAGAGCUCGCUGUUACUUCAAACUCCUGGGCUCAAGUGUGUGCCACCAUGCUCUGCACCCAGGCUGGAGUGCAAUGGCGCCAUCUCUGCUCACUGCAACCUCCGCCUCCUGGGUUCAAGCGAUUCUCCUGCCUCAGCCUCCUGAGUAGCUGGGAUUAAAGCUGCCUGCCACCUGCACAGACGGGAUCUCGCUAUGUCACCGGGCGCCAUGGCUCAAGCCUGUAAUCCCAGCACUUUGGAAGUCCGAGGCGGGCGGAUCACGAGGCCAGGAGUUCAAGACCAGCCUGGCCAAUAUGGUUGAUCCUUCUAGUCUCGUGGCAGAACUUUGUAGACACCAAGCGAGCGGGGCAGCGUGUUCUGGACCUCAUUCCUCACACAGGGCUCACCUCCGGAUGAGUCAGAGGCCUUAGCCGGUGGCCCAGCCCCGGGAAUGCCACCCCGGUUCUGUACCCUGCCCAGGCCAGCUGACAGGGUGUAUUGGGGCACACACCUGCAGCAUCCAGGGCACUCCAAGGAGAGGGACGUACUUUUGAGGAGAGUCUAAAAGUCUAAGUCCCCCACCUGAACUUGGUGGGGGAAGGGCUUCUAUACCAGGAGGGCUCCCAGCCCUGUUUCUUAAAGGCCAUUUAGGCAGAAGUGAACGUGGUCUCUUCAAUAAAGUUAAUAAUGGUUCAUGCUGCAG
Molecule: long non-coding RNA, 1089 nt
Filed under: Homo sapiens (human)
Lineage: Eukaryota; Metazoa; Chordata; Mammalia; Primates; Hominidae
Description: HSALNT0216319
Source: RNAcentral